Molecule: long non-coding RNA, 2514 nt
Organism: Aquila chrysaetos chrysaetos
Lineage: Eukaryota; Metazoa; Chordata; Aves; Accipitriformes; Accipitridae
Exons: 3
Source: RefSeq, a predicted model, not a curated record
GAUGAAUAACGUUAAUCGCCUGCGCUCCGCUGUACCUGUGCCGGGGGAGCGGAGCGGGGCGGGGGGGGAAGGAGGAAGGGAAGCGUGUACGGUAGUCUAGCCGGCGGCGGGGCUGAGGCCGGCAGUGCUGUGAGGGGUCCCAGCCUGGGUGCGGUUAGCGGCCUUUGGUGGCCGUUGCUGCCCGUUACAGCCGGCGGUGGGUGCGGGCCUGGGCCCGGGCCCGAGCGGUCCUCCCGCCGCCGCCGCCCCUGCCCGCUGUCUUCUCCUUGGGUGCUGGCGCGGGCAGAGGUGGCCCUGCUGCCUCCUCCGCGGCACCUUCGCGGGGGGCUGCGGGCGGCGGCCCUGGGGGGGGGGGGUUGGCGUUGCCGCAGGGCCCGGCCUGGAGCUGGAGGCAGGGCGAGCUCGUGGGUGGUGGGGUUACUUGCUUGUAACGUUUAUCGCGCAGGCCUUGUCCGCUUAGCCCUGUCGCUGGCCUGCGCUUGGAAGUCUGUGCUUUGGUACAGGUGUGGUGGGAGAACGAACAAUGGUUCGUCAGGUGCAUUUUUUUGUAUAUAGCUGCUUUCACCUCCAUCGUUAAUGAAGUACGCAGGCCUUAAUCAGUGUAAACACAAGUUCAGCAGUUCUAUAGGGUCUUCAGGUAGCAGCCAUCAAUAAAAGCUGUGACCAAUGCCACAGGGGAGAAUUGAGUAUUUAUAAGCUUGAAUCUCAAAAGUCAGCAUCGUAGUUAAUAUGCUGCUUAGAGUUUUGAGGAGAGAAUGCCUUAAGUCCAAUGCCACUUGUGUAAACACACCUGUCAGGGCAAUGAGAAGCAAUUGCACUAAGUGAUCCUGGGAAAUAACUGGGUUCACCAGUCAGCACGUGUGGGGGUCACAGCCAGCUCAGCACCACCGUCUCAGCCCGACGGAGGGUCUAACCUCGGCUCCAGGAACAAACCACACAGGGAAGGCAGCUGGCACUACUCUGCUGAGGAUGGUGGAGGAACUUAAAACACAGGUCCACUGGAAACCAGGCCACGUUGGUUUCAUCAUCUAAAACGGGUCACUUGCUAGCUUCCAAUAGCCAACACUGAGCAGUAGUUUCUCAACACAGCUUCUGGAAGAACUCUCUUGAAAACCACACAUUUCCUCUGAAAUGGCAUCAACAAAAUUUAUUUAAAACUAGUUGUUCUCUGGACCUCCCCAAUUUUGCUGUCUUGCAAAGGGCAAAAAAUUUUGGCAUGUCCCAGUGGCAGCAGCCGUAUUGAAGAGCUGACAUCGGUGCCUACCCCGUAAAAGAUUCUCCAAUCUAGAUUAGCUCUGUGACGUGCGACAGGACAUGCACUGUCAUCUAGUCUUGGUUCACACUGGGUAGUAUUUCUCAUCCCCCGGGUUUACCUCAUCUUGUUUCCAGGUGAUCAGCCAGCAGGACGGGUACUGUGUCAGGAGGAAGGAAUGGAAAUCUAUCCACAGGCUGUGGCUCUAGCUUGACUUCUCACGCUAGGGCUCUUUUGUAAAUAAAAUAUUGAUGCCCAGGCCCAUGAAGCUUUAUGUCAUCAAGGCAGUGGACAACGCUAUUACAUGCUCAAUAAAAGUACAUCAUGGAACUCAGUAGAGACGAUUGAUCUGCAGCUUGAAACAGAGAAGCUGGUGUUAAAUAAAAUUAGGUUGUCAAUGGCUCUUCUGAAAGAUUUCUUUGUGUUGAGACAGUACCAAUUGGAGGCAGCAUAGACCAGUUUUUAAUGCAGUAUGUGGAAGGAAAAUUAGGAUAGAGGAGUAGCUAUUUUUCUCACCUACUCAAAAGAAUAUUUGUAAAGAGUAUUUCUAGAGAGUUGAAGCCAGUGCUGUACAGAACCUACAGUUCCAGUAGAGACACAGCAUUUAUUGAUGCCUGAUUUUUGUCCAAGUAUCUAAAUCAUGACAAGGUAAAUUAUUUUUAUACACUUGGAGUAAAAGGCAAUAAUGCAAUACAUUCCUCUCCACCUCACAAACCUGUUUAGCAGUAGGGACGAGGCCUCGGAAAUACCUGCUGCAUUGAUGCUUAGUACAUAAAGAGGAGUGAGGGCUUAAGUUAUUAGUUUAGUCCAGGCUUAAUGUAAACAAUGCAUAGAUUCUACACAGCAGUUUGUUAUAGUGGCCUGAUUCUGGUUAUAGUACUUAUGUUUUGUCAGUCCAAAGCUUGUCUAGGUGAGAAGAUGCCCAUUGUUUCAAACAGGAUUGUGGUUUGGUCACAUCUAAUUGGCUUGAUGUGUCCUAGGACUGCUUGUUAAAAUAUCUACUAACAGAAUUGAUUAACAGCAUGAUUUAAAAAAUAAGUAAAUCUGGGUUUCACAGGAGAAAAUACUUAUAAACAUAUUUUUCAAAAAGGAAAAAGAAAAAAAUAAAUUGCAAUACUGCAUUUUCUGCAUUGUAAAAGCAAUAGUUGUAAUUUUAGAUAUGGCAUAAUGUUUGUUUAUUGUACGAAUUGAUCUGUGCAGCCAUAUUCUUGUAUAAAACUCCAAUGAUGUCAAUAUAUUCUUGUAUAAAACUGCAACAACUU